RNAcentral lists this ribosomal RNA (154 nucleotides) under Alternaria didymospora. RNAcentral's name for it is "5.8S ribosomal RNA". It matches the Rfam family "5.8S ribosomal RNA". Rfam says of the family: 5.8S ribosomal RNA (5.8S rRNA) is a component of the large subunit of the eukaryotic ribosome. Lineage: Eukaryota; Fungi; Ascomycota; Dothideomycetes; Pleosporales; Pleosporaceae. The record is from RNAcentral.
AAUGUAAUAAAUUACAACUUUCAACAACGGAUCUCUUGGUUCUGGCAUCGAUGAAGAACGCAGCGAAAUGCGAUACGUAGUGUGAAUUGCAGAAUUCAGUGAAUCAUCGAAUCUUUGAACGCACAUUGCGCCCUUUGGUAUUCCAAAGGGCAUG